This 381-nucleotide ribosomal RNA is filed under the name uncultured bacterium. RNAcentral's name for it is "bacterial SSU rRNA". It matches the Rfam family "Bacterial small subunit ribosomal RNA", at positions 524 to 907 of the family's 1533-position model. The record is from RNAcentral.
UACGGAGGGUGCAAGCGUUAUCCGGAUUCACUGGGUUUAAAGGGUGCGUAGGCGGGUAUUUAAGUCAGUGGUGAAAUCCUAGAGCUUAACUCUAGAACUGCCAUUGAUACUAUUUAUCUCGAAUAUUGUGGAGGUAAGCGGAAUAUGUCAUGUAGCGGUGAAAUGCUUAGAUAUGACAUAGAACACCUAUUGCGAAGGCAGCUUACUACGCAUAUAUUGACGCUGAGGCACGAAAGCGUGGGGAUCAAACAGGAUUAGAUACCCUGGUAGUCCACGCCCUAAACGAUGGAUACUCGACAUACGCGAUACACUGUGUGUGUCUGAGCGAAAGCAUUAAGUAUCCCACCUGGGAAGUACGACCGCAAGGUUGAUACUCAAAGG